RNAcentral lists this ribosomal RNA (647 nucleotides) under Polypedilum johannseni. Its description in RNAcentral is "partial 28S ribosomal RNA". It matches the Rfam family "Eukaryotic large subunit ribosomal RNA", at positions 430 to 944 of the family's 3401-position model. The record is from RNAcentral. Lineage: Eukaryota; Metazoa; Arthropoda; Insecta; Diptera; Chironomidae.
CCAAAUAUCUAAACGGAGAAAUUCAAUAUUACCGUUAAAAAGUAAUGUGCACUUUUCUCUUAGUAAGACGCCGUGAUCCAUUAGAAAUUGGUAUACGCCAAGUAUACAGUAGGUCAUCAAUAGGCCAGUGUGAAGUUUAUUGGAACAAAUGGCAUGGCCUUUCACGGUUGUGUGUAUUGUCUGGUAAGCGCAUUGAUACCUGUAAUGACUGUCUGAUGGAUUUUAGAGACCAUUAUCAAUGAUGCUAUGGCAUCAACGCUUGUCGUAUUUGAUAUGUGUCCGAUCAACGGCGGUUAAAUUUGGGAUACCUUUUGGACCCGUCUUGAAACACGGACCAAGGAGUCUAUCUAGUAUGCGAGUAAAUGGAUAAUUUAUGAAAUCUAUUUGCAUAAUAAACUUGACUGUUUUAUGGGACUACGAUUAAUAACUUUGCGGUUAUUUUUCUUCCAUCCCGGGGUAUUUUCAUCCACAUAUAAGCAAUUAUAUGGAAAAUAUACCAUGAGCACACUGGAUACGACCCGAAAGAUGGUGAACUAUGCCUGAUCAGGUCGAAGUCAGGGGAAACCCUGAUGGAGGACCGAAGCAGUUCUGACGUGCAAAUCGAUUGUCAGAAUUGGGCAUAGGGGCGAAAGACCAAUCGAACCAUC